RNAcentral lists this transfer RNA (68 nucleotides) under Marmota monax (woodchuck). RNAcentral's name for it is "tRNA.Ala". The record is from RNAcentral. Lineage: Eukaryota; Metazoa; Chordata; Mammalia; Rodentia; Sciuridae.
GGUUUGUGGCUCAGUGGUAGAGUGCUUACCUAGCAUGUGUGAGGCAUUGGGUUCAAUUCUCAGCACUG